RNAcentral lists this ribosomal RNA (496 nucleotides) under uncultured bacterium. RNAcentral describes it as "partial 16S ribosomal RNA". It matches the Rfam family "Bacterial small subunit ribosomal RNA", at positions 28 to 506 of the family's 1533-position model. The record is from RNAcentral.
GAUGAACGCUGGCGGCGUGCCUAAUACAUGCAAGUCGAGCGAACAGACGAGGAGCUUGCUCCUCUGACGUUAGCGGCGGACGGGUGAGUAACACGUGGAUAACCUACCUAUAAGACUGGGAUAACUUCGGGAAACCGGAGCUAAUACCGGAUAAUAUAUUGAACCGCAUGGUUCAAUAGUGAAAGACGGUUUUGCUGUCACUUAUAGAUGGAUCCGCGCCGCAUUAGCUAGUUGGUAAGGUAACGGCUUACCAAGGCGACGAUGCGUAGCCGACCUGAGAGGGUGAUCGGCCACACUGAAACUGAGACACGGUCCAGACUCCUACGGGAGGCAGCAGUAGGGAAUCUUCCGCAAUGGGCGAAAGCCUGACGGAGCAACGCCGCGUGAGUGAUGAAGGUCUUCGGAUCGUAAAACUCUGUUAUUAGGGAAGAACAAAUGUGUAAGUAACUAUGCACGUCUUGACGGUACCUAAUCAGAAAGCCACGGCUAACUACGU